CUGCUGGUUCCCAAAGCUUUUGGAGCAACGCUCAGUCGUGGCUGUCACAGCCUUCUGCUCUUUUUGUGCCUGCCAUCAACCAGCCAAUAUCCCCCUUCUAUAUCUGGAGUGGCCACUCUGGCCUUUUUAUCUCUCCAGGUCCCCUCCUGCCUGCCCUGCUCUGUGGCUCCCACUGUCCCUCGUGUUUUCUCUCUCUCUCUGCUACUAGCUUUUGCCAGUGCUACUGCUGGGUUGAAGUGAAUCAGCUCAGCCAAGCUCAUUCAGCUAAAUCUGAUGCCUCACCCACAGUCCUGGUGUGUUCCAUCAGCUGGGAACUGGUGAUGGGAGCACGACUCUGCUUGUGGCUUCCAGCACGGACAUUUCAUCCUGUGCCAAGCGUGUCAGUGUGACACCCAAAUUUCGCAUGCCAGUCACUAUUGCUUCUCUUGACAGAGCUCAGGGAGAGACACUGGGAAAAUGUGGCAAAAAUACUCUAUUAUGUUCAAAGAGAGACUGAUAGUGCCAUUAAUAAGGCUAUUGCUAGCAAAUAACACCUCUGUAUGGAGAGAGACUCACACUGCCCUUUACAACCAUCUAUCCCUUCUUUGUCUUUCUCCCACGCUGUCUGUACUUUUUUGUAACAUCUAUUUGAAACUCCUUUGCUUUAUUGUCUCCCCAGGCUUAGGAAAGUUGAGUCCCCUCUCUGAAGAGAAAGAAUUACACCUGAGUGUAAUCCUGCUGCAUAGUAUCAAAGAUCUGCAGGUCUUAAAUUUUAGCUUUCUGAGCUCACCUUUGGUAGAUUGAACCACCCUAAAUGAUAGACAAGUAGUUUGAAUGAUACAAGCCAUGUGUGACAUAAAUUUUUCACCUGUGAUCAAUCUGCAUGAGAGUGACAUCAGAAAUGGCAUAUCUUCCUUAGCAUCUGAAAGAGCAAUAUGUGAAAUGAGGGUGAUGUUUGCAGGUGGUCUUCAAGGUCAGAUACACAUAAGGCUGUUAUUAAGUAGACAAACAAAAAAAAACAACAAAGAAAGCAGGAGAAGCUGGGAUCUGGAGAAAACGAAGACCUUCUGUGACUCUUGGCAGUACCCCUGUGUUCCCUGCGGAUGCGCAUCUUGCUCUUCCUUCUCUGUCUUCUUCUUGGAUUAUAAGAGUUCUUUUGCUUAGUUAAAGGCUUGACUUUUUAAACGUUCUUUGAGGCUGAGCACAUAAAGAUGGGUCUGAAAGGGAAGUGUGAAGCUUUGAAAAGGACUUCCUUGACUUUCUG
RNAcentral lists this long non-coding RNA (1243 nucleotides) under Numida meleagris (helmeted guineafowl). RNAcentral's name for it is "lncRNA (ENSNMEG00000000571.1)". The record is from RNAcentral. Lineage: Eukaryota; Metazoa; Chordata; Aves; Galliformes; Numididae.